UAUCUUUAAGGCAUCUUUAUAACGUACGAAACGAACGUAUUAAUUAUUCGAACGCAUUGUUAAAUGGAACGAAUGCUAAAUGUAUUUAUAAGUGUGACUGGUCAGUACGUGUUGUUCAGGUAGCCCUGAAGAAUUUUUAUAUGAAUGUAACAUAGUUUCAUAAGAAGGGUAAUAUUGAAAUGUGUAAACGCGUUUUUUUCUUAAUACCAUUACGAUUCCUAAUACAAUUUUCAAUCAUUUGGGAGUGUAGCUGAAGAAAUAUACAAUAUUUAACCAAUUGCCUUGGCCUCUUAAGAUAGAGAAAAGCAGGAUUCGCUAUGCUUAUCCGGCUAGACCCUUUUGGACAAUGUUUUGAGGCAGGUCAUAUGCGUUCUGUCAGCACGUUUCCCCUUCUUAAGCAAAGGUCCUUGAUAAGGUUAUGGGGAAAUAAGAAAUAUAUUGUAAAGGUUUUAUGACAAAAGUAAACUUUAAUUGCUUUAUAAUUGGCUUUAACGAAAAUUGCUUGUUGAUUGCUCUACGACUCUAGAAAAACUAAACGGCGACCGGUGUCGCUUUAGACCGGUUCGAGUACGCGCACGCACGCGGUUAUACUAGCAAGGAUGAAAACAUAAUACUCAACAGUCCUCCAAGUCGGGGUGUUAUAAAGAAAACGGUCAGUACAAGUCAGGUCAGUUUCCUGCGAGUUGUUGAAGUUUGUAUUUCGCUUUGUGUGUCGUGCAGUAUUAGCUAUUUGCUGUUUGUUGGAUUUUGAUUAUUCAAAAAGAGCCUGCUGCAAACCUUGCCGAUAGUAAAAGGACAACGGAGGUGUCAAUCCAAAAUUGGUUAAGAAGAGUUUUCGAUAGAAAAAAUGUAAUUGCGAAACAGUUUUGAAUAAAUACUUUGUAUAUUUUGAAUAAAAUAUUAUUAUACUAAAAA
Molecule: long non-coding RNA, 915 nt
Organism: Osmia lignaria (orchard mason bee)
Lineage: Eukaryota; Metazoa; Arthropoda; Insecta; Hymenoptera; Megachilidae
Source: RefSeq, a predicted model, not a curated record